UUCAGGUGCCGUCUUUGAAUUUUCCACACUCUUGGCGCAUGCGCCUCAGCUCCUUGGAUAUCACCCUGACAUUGAGCCCCUGGUGCUGUGCUUGGGACUGAGGGUAAAUGACACAGUCAGUGUCCCCAACCCCACCGCAUGGCAAAACAAAUGCUGACACUUCUAAUUGCCUUUUGUCAGCCGGGGAAGUGUUGAAUAUUACCAGGAUUUCAGGCAAAAUGACUGGGUUUUUCAGCAACCCCAACUGGAAAAUCUCAAAGUUAUGUGAAGC
Homo sapiens (human) is the source of this 271-nucleotide long non-coding RNA. RefSeq lists it as uncharacterized. The record is from RefSeq and is a predicted model, not a curated record. Lineage: Eukaryota; Metazoa; Chordata; Mammalia; Primates; Hominidae. The transcript has 2 exons.